CAGCUUGCUGAUAUGUAUCAAAGGUGGAAGGAAGGAGACUGACAGAAUGGGAGCAAGAGAGGAAAACAGGCUAAUCUUGGAGUCUGGACCUCUGUGAGAGAAAGGAGUCCUGAGUGGAGGGUACCUGAGCAACCUGAAGAGAAACUAGAUGAUGAUAUACCCUGCACGAAGAAGUGGAGGGCUAGGCAGGCAGAUUAUAGUUCAGAUCCAGAUGUUGAAUGGGAGAGCAGAUUUUGAACCGUCACUUUCCUCUGUAAGUCUUUGGCUUGGAUUAAAGUACGUCAAAGGUCCUUUGAUUUUGUGCUUGCCCUAAAUUUGAAUGAUUAGCUGCAGCCUUGCAUUUCACUUUGGAAAUUAAGGAAGGUGACCGGGACCAUGCUUUGGGUAAAGCAAUACAAGGGAGUGAUGCAGGAAUGCAAG
This 420-nucleotide long non-coding RNA is filed under the name Equus asinus (donkey). RNAcentral's name for it is "lncRNA (ENSEASG00005030575.1)". Lineage: Eukaryota; Metazoa; Chordata; Mammalia; Perissodactyla; Equidae. The record is from RNAcentral.